Molecule: unclassified non-coding RNA, 1007 nt
Filed under: Primulina glandulosa
Lineage: Eukaryota; Viridiplantae; Streptophyta; Magnoliopsida; Lamiales; Gesneriaceae
Description: partial 166FR
Source: RNAcentral
UUUCUUCUCUAUUACACUAUAUCAUUUUAUGCUGGUAGUUUACCAUCUUGGUCAUUUCAUAUAUGCCGUUAUUUGUAAGCAUUUAUCUUGCUGUGGAUUGAGGGUUCGGGCUAGAAUUUAAUUUGGUGACUUCUGACCUGUAACUUCUCCUGUUAUGUUUAACUUUGAAACGCUUUCAAACAAUUUGGCUUGUGAGCUAUAAAUUAAUCGCCUUUUUUCGUUCUGGGUCUGAUUACUGAGCCGGGAGGGAAAAUAAAGAAAGAAUCUCAGCACCGAUUAAGCUCAUUUUUACUACUGCUUCCGUUGGUACAGCCAGAGAGGAACUCAAACAUUGUCUCCCGAUCUAUUAUUUCAAGAUGGAAUUGAACUGCUAGGACAAUUUGAAUGAUUACGUUCAUCAUUCAAAUGGUAAAAUUCCAUUGCAAAAUGCAGAGCCUAAUUCUAGAAUGCUCUACUUAAUAUUUUCCAAUAAAUGUUGUAUUUGAAAUUUUAGAUUUGAUUAAAAAUAAGGAGUGACCACCACCCUCUUGUUCGAGUUUAAAUGUGAGGUGCGAGAAAGUGGUAAAAAAUUGUGGAAUAAAACUGUUGUGUGGAUAAAUGGUGCAUAAGAUCUUGUGAGGUGCUUGCUUUAGCAGUAUUAUGCUGCAAAUUUAUUGUAUUUGAUAAAUUUUAUCAUUGAAUCAGCAUGUUCAAGCUAAUGCUCAGUACGAGGGAAUGUACACUUCUCUCAUUUAAUGUGGAAUUAGGGUUUAAAAAUAGAAUGAAAUAUCUUUAGUUUUUCUAAGUGGUAAUUUGGGCUUGGGUGCAGGUGAGUUUGAGCGAGUAGCAGGACACACAUCAAAAGUAAAAGUGUGUGGUAAAAGUGCACACAUAUGGCACACAGUUUGUUAUUACUGCAUUCAACUAUUUGUUUUUGUGCAACUGGUGCUGAAAUUGGCAUAUUUUGUUAUGUAUAAAGGUACAGGUGAUUUGGGCGAGCGACCCAGUUUCACAAUGGAGAGGAGGAG